UUUCCUCUUGAUGAGUCAUAAAAACAAUUGUUUAAGAGAAGUCAACUUGUACAGAAACUGAUUCCUUUCCUUCACUUGCGCACUACACACAUCACCUCGCCUCUCCCUCCUUCCUGCUCCUUGCGUCGCCACCCCGCCAGUCGUUUCCCUCUCAUCGGCGACACUGGUUCGUUGUUGUUGCGUUGGUUCUGCUGCUGUUCCCCUCUCUCGUCUCUCCUCCAUCUCGUCCCUCUUCCAUCUCGUCCAAGCUUCGUGAUGCCGCCGCCGAUGGUGGCCGCUAAACCACCCUCAUCUAGACGCCCUCUUCAAUUGGUAAACCAUCUAAAUCCUUCCAUAAAUUGAUUGAAUUAAAUUAUGAUUUAAAAUUCCAAACCCUAACUAAUUGAAUUUCUCUCUCCUCUUGUGGGUGCGCUAUCCCUUUGGGUUGCCGGUGCGAUGGUGUUCCAUCGCCGUUGUCGUAUUUUGUUGGAGGUUGAUCGGUGUUGAUCGUUGUGUUCUUGUUCCUCUCCUCGACUCAUCUCCCCUGCUUCACUCCUCUACCUCUCCUCUCCUCCGCUAGACUCACGGAGGGCCACCCCUCGUGGCUCUGCCGGAGCUGCUCCUGCUGCUAUUCCGUUGAUAUUGUUGUUGUGUUAUCUGUCUUAUGGUUGUUGUUGCUGCUGCUUCCCUGCCUCCCUAUUUCUCUUAUGGGAAUCAGGCAGAGCAAAGUACUAUUUUUAAUGGGCAAUAAUAUCCAGCUAGAGACUUUGGUCAGUGUAGAUUUGAGGCAGUCGUGAAGGCAGCUAGCAAACAUCAACACAACUAUGAGGCUAUCAACCCAGUCUAGGCUGCAACGAUUGUGCUCCUGGUGCUCUGUCUUUUGAUGUCCUCUUCUGAUGGCCUGCUGGUUUGAUGUGAUGUUGUUUUGUUCUACUAAGUGGUGUUGAUUGGUCUACUCCUGCUAAUCUGCACUUUGCUGUCGUGUGAUCUGCUGUCUUUUCUGCACAUUGUUGCUGUUUUUCUUGAAGAUUGAAGGCGACCCAAAUGAGGAGUUAUAUGUAGGAUGCGGUGUGGUUAGUUUGGAUCAAAACUUUGUUAGACCAACGUUAACUUGGUUUGCCUUUGGUUAUUUUUUUUUUAAUUUUUUAGUGGUUUUUGUAGUUUUGGGCUUGUAGGUUGUUGCAAGGCCCUGGGGUUUGAUUGGUUGAGCUUGUACAAAAAUUGGUUUGUUUUAGUUCAUAAUAUAUUUGGAGUUAUUAAA
Long non-coding RNA from Spinacia oleracea (spinach), 1240 nucleotides. RefSeq lists it as uncharacterized. The transcript is spliced from 3 exons. The record is from RefSeq and is a predicted model, not a curated record. Lineage: Eukaryota; Viridiplantae; Streptophyta; Magnoliopsida; Caryophyllales; Amaranthaceae.